RNAcentral lists this ribosomal RNA (467 nucleotides) under uncultured bacterium. RNAcentral describes it as "partial 16S ribosomal RNA". It matches the Rfam family "Bacterial small subunit ribosomal RNA", at positions 28 to 507 of the family's 1533-position model. The record is from RNAcentral.
GACGAACGCUGGCGGCGUGCUUAACACAUGCAAGUCGAACGGAAAGGCCUCUUUCGGGGGGUACUCGAGUGGCGAACGGGUGAGUAACACGUGAGUAACCUGCCCUUGACUUUGGGAUAACUUCAGGAAACUGGGGCUAAUACCUGAUAGGAGCUCCUGCCGCAUGGUGGGGGCUGGAAAGUUUCGGCGGUUGGGGGUGUACUCGCGGCUUAUCCGCUUGUUGGUGGGGUAGUGGCUUACCACGGCUUUGACGGGUAUCCGGCCUGAGUGGGUGACCGGCCACAUUGGGUCUGAGGUACGGCCCAGACUCCUACGGGAGGCAGCAGUGGGGAAUAUUGCACAAUGGGUGGAAGCCUGAUGCAGCAACGCCGUGUGCGGGAUGACGGCCUUCGGGUUGUAAACCGCUUUCGCUCAUGACGAAGCUUUGUGUGACGGUAGUGGGUAAAGAAGCACCGGCUAACUACGUG